AAUAGAUACCCGGGUAGUCCACGCCGUAAACGAUGUCGACUUGGAGGUUGUUCCCUUGAGGAGUGGCUUCCGGAGCUAACGCGUUAAGUCGACCGCCUGGGGAGUACGGCCGCAAGGUUAAAACUCAAAUGAAUUGACGGGGGCCCGCACAAGCGGUGGAGCAUGUGGUUUAAUUCGAUGCAACGCGAAGAACCUUACCUGGUCUUGACAUCCACAGAAUUCUGCAGAGAUGCGGAAGUGCCUUCGGGAACUGUGAGACAGGUGCUGCAUGGCUGUCGUCAGCUCGUGUUGUGAAAUGUUGGGUUAAGUCCCGCAACGAGCGCAACCCUUAUCCUUUGUUGCCAGCGGUUAGGCCGGGAACUCAAAGGAGACUGCCAGUGAUAAACUGGAGGAAGGUGGGGAUGACGUCAAGUCAUCAUGGCCCUUACGACCAGGGCUACACACGUGCUACAAUGGCAUAUACAAAGAGAAGCGACCUCGCGAGAGCAAGCGGACCUCAUAAAGUAUGUCGUAGUCCGGAUCGGAGU
This 527-nucleotide ribosomal RNA is filed under the name uncultured bacterium. RNAcentral describes it as "bacterial SSU rRNA". It matches the Rfam family "Bacterial small subunit ribosomal RNA", at positions 777 to 1304 of the family's 1533-position model. The record is from RNAcentral.